AUUGAACGCUGGCGGCAGGCCUAACACAUGCAAGUCGAGCGGAAGCAGGGAGCAGGUUCCUGGAUUCCGCGGCGGAGGGGUACGUGUUGCCUAUGAAUGGGCCUGGGAGUGGGGGAUAACGUCCGGAAAUGGGAGCUGUUACUAAUAACGCAUAGAGGGGGAAAGUGGGGGAUGUUCGGAUUCCAGGCUCUCAGCAGAGCCUAGGUCGGAUUAGCUAGAUGGUGGGGUAAAGGCCUACCAAGGCGACGAUCCGUAACUGGUCUGAGAGGAUGAUCAGUCACACUGGAACUGAGACACGGUCCAGACUCCUACGGGAGGCAGCAGUGGGGAAUAUUGGACAAUGGGCGAAAGCCUGAUCCAGCCAUGCCGCGUGUGUGAAGAAGGUCUUCGGAUUGUAAAGCACUUUAAGUUGGGAGGAAGGGCAGUAAGUUAAUACCUUGCUGUAUUGACGUUACCAACAGAAUAAGCACCGGCUAACUUCGUG
RNAcentral lists this ribosomal RNA (484 nucleotides) under uncultured bacterium. RNAcentral's name for it is "partial 16S ribosomal RNA". It matches the Rfam family "Bacterial small subunit ribosomal RNA", at positions 30 to 507 of the family's 1533-position model. The record is from RNAcentral.